This 208-nucleotide long non-coding RNA is filed under the name Vitis vinifera (wine grape). Its description in RNAcentral is "long non-coding RNA (VVIN_LNC007864)". The record is from RNAcentral. Lineage: Eukaryota; Viridiplantae; Streptophyta; Magnoliopsida; Vitales; Vitaceae.
GGGCAUUUAAAGAGUUUCGUACGAAACUGGCGUGAAUAGUGAAUACUACCGCGGAUGCAUUUAUUGGAGCCUGCGAUUCCUUCAUUGUUGGGCUCCUUCCCCAUUUCAAGUAUGGUUGGUCUGGCCAUAGCAAUGAUGCACAUGCCAUGACGCUUCAUUUUCUUUCUUCUCUUUCCCAGUUUCCCUUCAUAUAUAAUAUUCAUCCAAG